GAUGAAGAACGUAGCGAAUUGCGAUAAGUAAUGUGAAUUGCAGAAUUCAGUGAAUCAUCAAAUCUUUGAACGCACAUUGCGCUCUCUGGUAUUCCGGAGAGCAUGCCUGUUUGAGAAUCGAUAAAUCCCUCACAUGUUGCUUUUCUUGCAAAAACAAGGACUGGGACCUCUGUGGAUUUGGAUCGUUUGCGCGCCUCUGGUGUGCAAUGAUCUUAAAUUAAAUGUCUGCAGCUUUUGUUUUCAGCAAUAAGCCCAAAGUGCAUGAAUGGAGUUUUAAAAGACUUGAUCCUCACGUUGGCGUUUGUUGUUCGAUCACAAUGUGUCUGUUGGAUUCACCCAUUACAUUGAGGGAAAGCUCCAGGGCGAUCUUUCAAAAACUUGGUCUCAAAUCAGGUAGGAAAACCCGCUGAACUUAAGCAUAUCAAUAAGCGGAGGA
This 436-nucleotide unclassified non-coding RNA is filed under the name soil metagenome. Its description in RNAcentral is "partial contains 5.8S ribosomal RNA, internal transcribed spacer 2, and large subunit ribosomal RNA". The stretch from base 1 to 120 matches the Rfam family "5.8S ribosomal RNA", at positions 35 to 154 of the family's 154-position model. The record is from RNAcentral.